GGUGUAGCUCAGUUGGUCAGAGCUGGCGGCUCAUAACCGCUUGGUCGCGAGUUCAAAUCUUGCCUGUCCCACCA
RNAcentral lists this transfer RNA (74 nucleotides) under Caudoviricetes sp. Its description in RNAcentral is "tRNA-Met". It matches the Rfam family "tRNA". Rfam says of the family: Transfer RNA (tRNA) molecules are approximately 80 nucleotides in length. Their secondary structure includes four short double-helical elements and three loops (D, anti-codon, and T loops). The record is from RNAcentral. Lineage: Duplodnaviria; Heunggongvirae; Uroviricota; Caudoviricetes.